RNAcentral lists this ribosomal RNA (505 nucleotides) under uncultured bacterium. Its description in RNAcentral is "bacterial SSU rRNA". It matches the Rfam family "Bacterial small subunit ribosomal RNA", at positions 48 to 548 of the family's 1533-position model. The record is from RNAcentral.
CUUACACAUGCAGUCGAGCGGAGAUGAGGUGCUUGCACCUUAUCUUAGCGGCGGACGGGUGAGUAAUGCUUAGGAAUCUGCCUAUUAGUGGGGGACAACAUUCCGAAAGGAAUGCUAAUACCGCAUACGUCCUACGGGAGAAAGCAGGGGAUCUUCGGACCUUGCGCUAAUAGAUGAGCCUAAGUCGGAUUAGCUAGUUGGUGGGGUAAAGGCCUACCAAGGCGACGAUCUGUAGCGGGUCUGAGAGGAUGAUCCGCCACACUGGGACUGAAACACGGCCCAGACUCCUACGGGAGGCAACAUUGGGGAAUAUUGGACAAUGGGGGGACCCCUGAUCCAGCCAUGCCGCGUGUGUGAAUAAGGUUGAUGGUUGUUUUUCACUUUAGAUGAGGAUGACGCUACUGAGACUAAUACUCUUGGGUAAUGUACGUUGCUCGCAGACUAGGCACCGGCUGACUCAGUGACCGUUGCUGCGGAAUUACUGAGGCGUGCGAGCGCUCGUCGG